RNAcentral lists this ribosomal RNA (403 nucleotides) under Verrucomicrobiota bacterium. RNAcentral's name for it is "Verrucomicrobia bacterium partial 16S ribosomal RNA". It matches the Rfam family "Bacterial small subunit ribosomal RNA", at positions 355 to 776 of the family's 1533-position model. Lineage: Bacteria; Pseudomonadati; Verrucomicrobiota. The record is from RNAcentral.
UGGGGAAUAUUGCACAAUGGAGGGAACUCUGAUGCAGCGACGCCGCGUGAACGAAGAAGGCUUUCGAGUCGUAAAGUUCUUUUAUAUGGGAAGAUAAUGACGGUACCUGUAGAACAAGCCACGGCUAACUACGUGCCAGCAGCCGCGGUAAUACGUAGGUGGCGAGCGUUAUCCGGAUUUACUGGGCGUAAAGGGCGUGUAGGCGGCUAGAUAAGUGUGAUGUUUAAAUCCAAGGCUUAACCUUGGGGUUCAUUACAAACUGUUUAGCUUGAGUGCUGGAGAGGAUAGUGGAAUUCCUAGUGUAGCGGUAAAAUGCGUAGAUAUUAGGAGGAACACCGGUGGCGAAGGCGGCUAUCUGGACAGUAACUGACGCUGAGGCGCGAAAGCGUGGGGAGCAAACAGG